RNAcentral lists this ribosomal RNA (429 nucleotides) under Chloroflexota bacterium. RNAcentral's name for it is "Chloroflexi bacterium partial 16S ribosomal RNA". It matches the Rfam family "Bacterial small subunit ribosomal RNA", at positions 355 to 776 of the family's 1533-position model. Lineage: Bacteria; Bacillati; Chloroflexota. The record is from RNAcentral.
UGGGGAAUAUUGCACAAUGGGCGCAAGCCUGAUGCAGCCAUGCCGCGUGUGUGAAGAAGGCCUUCGGGUUGUAAAGCACUUUCAGCGGGGAGGAAGGCGAUAAGGUUAAUAACCUCAUCGAUUGACGUUACCCGCAGAAGAAGCACCGGCUAACUCCGUGCCAGCAGCCGCGGUAAUACGGAGGGUGCAAGCGUUAAUCGGAAUUACUGGGCGUAAAGCGCACGCAGGCGGUCUGUCAAGUCGGAUGUGAAAUCCCCGGGCUCAACCUGGGAACUGCAUUCGUAACUGGCAGGCUAGAGUCGUGUAGAGGGGGGUAGAAUUCCAGGUGUAGCGGUGAGAUGCGUAGAGAUCUGGAGGAAUACCGGUGGCGAAGGCGGCCCCCUGGACAAAGACUGACGCUCAGGUGCGAAAGCGUGGGGAGCAAACAGG